This 336-nucleotide unclassified non-coding RNA is filed under the name Hevea brasiliensis (rubber tree). The record is from RNAcentral. Lineage: Eukaryota; Viridiplantae; Streptophyta; Magnoliopsida; Malpighiales; Euphorbiaceae.
GUUGAAAGCAUUUUGAAAAGUUCACCGAUGAAAAUGGAGCUAGUAAAGCCAAAUGCAAGUAUUGUGCAAAAGUUUAUGCAGCUUCUACAUCAUCUAAUGUUGCAGCUUGUAAGUUCAACUAUCAACUAGUGAUGUGCAGUAACGAGUCCAUCAAUGUUUUGUCAUUUUCUUGGUUGCUAUCUGCUAGAACUUGGGAGCUAUUGCAAUGGAGGUUGCAAGUUGCAGCGAUGUUUUGUUGGUUUUCUAAAUCUCUUUAUUGCUGGAAGUUGCAAUGAUCUAGAUAAUGAUGACUUUAGUUUGUAACUAACUCUAUUUUAGUGAUGGAUACAAAUUUGU